GCAUUGAAUCUGCCCUUUCUAGGCAGGUGACACUCGUCUGUUGCUGGAAGUAAGCCUCCUGCUGGAGUUAAUCAGCUGCCAUCCUCUGGCCCACAGAUCAAACACGAGUGGCCCGCGGGCACCGCCGAUCAUUUGAUUCGGUUCUGGCUCCCCGGGUUGAGAUAUGACCGUAGCAGCCUUGCAAAGGGCUGAAAGACUAGUUCCGUAGGUGAACCUGCGGAAGGAUCAUUA
This 231-nucleotide ribosomal RNA is filed under the name Lecidella elaeochroma. Its description in RNAcentral is "partial 18S ribosomal RNA". The record is from RNAcentral. Lineage: Eukaryota; Fungi; Ascomycota; Lecanoromycetes; Lecanorales; Lecanoraceae.